AGUUAUUGAGCUUGUAAAGCUUAUAUUUUGAAAAUAUAAAAAAGAGAUUUAGUUCUCUAUUAACUU
Molecule: transfer RNA, 66 nt
Filed under: Diaphanes nubilus
Lineage: Eukaryota; Metazoa; Arthropoda; Insecta; Coleoptera; Lampyridae
Description: tRNA-Ser
Source: RNAcentral